AGCAGGGUAGCUGAACAUCUUACGGAUGGCCCAGGGCUCCAAAGGCUUGUUUCCUAAGUGAGAGAGAGCCCGGCUGAAGCUCUAUUACCAUUCAUUCUCUAGCCUCCGAAGUCUCAAAGCAUCACUUCCACCAUACUCUAAUUGUCAAGACAAACACAAAGUCCUAGAAAGAAUACAGUAUCGAUGUUCCUUUUAAACAAGUAUUUGAGUAAAAGCAAUGUUUCCAAUGUGUGUCAGAAAGUGAAUACUUGCAUAUUUCUGCAUGGUUAGAGCUGAGCUUUCCAAGCAAAUUUUACUGGGACCCGGUUGAAAGACAGGUCUUGGAAGUGAAAUGAUGACUGACUAGAUGACAUUACAUGUAAAUGGAAUCAUACAAUAUGUGAUCUUUUGUGACUGGCUUCUUUCACUUAGCAUAAUGUUUUCAAGAAACUGCCAGACUGUCUUCCGAAGUGGCUAUAAUAUUUACACUCCCAUCAGCAGUGUAGAUGGGGGUCUCACUACGUUGUCUGGAGUGCAGUGGCUAGAGUGGAGUGGCUAUUCACAGGAUUCUUGAAAUGGACUGUAAAAGUCUGGAGUCAAGACUUUGUGUUUCCUCUCUAACAUGUAAAGAGCUUAGAAGUUGUUGCUACUGCCCUUACAACAAAUUGAAGCUGGACAAACUGAAAAUCAAUGACUUUUCUUGGACUCACUAUAGAGCUGAGUUUGCAGAGUAAACCACUACCCUGAAAUCUGGAGAGGCAGGUGCACCCAUAGAGUCUCAGCUGAGAUCCAAUUACCUGAAAUAGAAGCUGCCAUUAGGAACACUUAAAUG
RNAcentral lists this long non-coding RNA (811 nucleotides) under Pongo abelii (Sumatran orangutan). Its description in RNAcentral is "lincRNA". The record is from RNAcentral. Lineage: Eukaryota; Metazoa; Chordata; Mammalia; Primates; Hominidae.